Long non-coding RNA from Centrocercus urophasianus (Greater sage-grouse), 3915 nucleotides. RefSeq lists it as uncharacterized. The transcript has 5 exons. The record is from RefSeq and is a predicted model, not a curated record. Lineage: Eukaryota; Metazoa; Chordata; Aves; Galliformes; Phasianidae.
CGGGCAGCAGAGGGCAGCGCUGGCGCGGAGCUCUGUGGAGAAGCGAAGUCUUUCUUGUCUUUGCGUCACUUGGGCUCCGCGCUGACUGACUCAUAAGAACGCUCGAGGCCCAAAGUGAACGUGAUUUUAUUGUCUGUCGGUUCUGGAUGUUCUGGGGACUAUUCCAAGGGGACGACAGAGAGAGGUUUUCUUCUUGCUCUUUGACACUGUAAGGAGGAGUGGGGACUUCAAAUGUAGCAUGAAACUGAGAAUAAUCGACACGGAAAAAGCCAUCUUCCAGGGACAUCACUGGGAGGAAUCUGUGACCCCAAAGAACUUCAUCUUCCGUAUAUGAGGUCCUAGCUUGGCAAGUCAUUCCUGUGGAGGCAGAGACAAGAGAAUGACGUUGUAACAUAAGCGAAAACUGCGAUGUACAUGUAAGGACUUUAAGGUAAGAGAUGGUUUCUCCACAGCUGAAGAGGACAAGGGACACAUCAGCUGACUGCUUGUAAAAGUGUUCUCAGGUAUUACAGUGCUUUGAAAGGUAAAACAGAGCAGUAGGAAAUAAAAAGGGAUCAACCCCCCCUGCUACUUACAAUAGUGACACUGUUACAUGCAAAGGUGCAAUCAAACUACUGCAAAAAUAUCCCUCAUCUUUUUUUGAGGGAAGCUGCAGUUCCAGGCUGCAGACAACACUGCUGUUUUUGUUGCCUGGCUACUGUUCAGCAGGUGCACAGCUGGCAGCAUACAGUUUUUGCUCCAAGGCAACAAGGCUUAACAUGAACUGUAUGAACCACACGUGAGCCUGAAACUUCCCCGAAGUUUUAUAGAAUGCUAUUACCAAAGAUGUGCAUAAUUGCACAAAUCACUGCCUGAAUGAUCUGUUUCCAUCUACAAACAGUUUUUCUCUGGGGAAAAGUCUACUGAGUUGAUUUGAUGGAAGUAAACAAAUCCAGUGAGGAUGAUUAGAGGUAACAGACCUGGGAGGAAAGCAAAAGGUUGUGCUUGAGGUAUUUAGCACCUGCACACGGGACUGAUUUAUGCAGAGCAUGGAGAAUUUUGAAGAGGAGCUUAUUUGUUAAGUAAAAAUAAACGAUCCUAAACAAAGAGUUUCACAGCUCUCACAUGUUAAGACUUCCAGCCAUCAACCUCUGUUGCACACAGCUGUGCUCAGAGGAGCACAGAAGGGCAGCACAGGACUGUAAACUGCCAGCAGUUUGGAAGGGACGGCUGAGAUUCUUUAUUUUGACCUCCCACAAAGCCAGAUAACUUUCACAGAUGAAUGCACCAGGACACAAAUAGUUAGAAAUGCCCCAGCUUUGAUUUUCAAUGUGACAACAGUUGGGAAAUCCAAAGGUCUACGUGAGUUGCACCGAAGGUUAUUUGCCUCACAAUUAAGAAAAAACCUAAACUCCUUAGGUGUGUAGAUUUAUUCAUCUGUACCUUUCUGCCACUGGAUUCUACAUUCCUCAGCUUUCCAAAUCAAGUUCUCCUAUGCUACCAGCUGAAAAACUCUAUGGAAAGCUGUCAUACCAACAUUAUGAUGGUUAUCAGUGAAAUCUACUGAAUAUCCUAGGACAUUUGUCAUGCCACUCAGACAGACUUAGAUUGGUGUACUUUUUUUUUUUUAUUUUAAAAAAAACAAAGGUAAGACCUCCAUUACUCCAACUGAAACAUGAAGCUUAAUACUAAAUACAGCUCCUAUCUCAAUGGCAAAGUGGGGUAAGGCACACUCCUUCACAUUGUGUGACACAAGUAAACAUCUUGCUAUCUAAUCCAACACAGGAGUGUAGCAAGAUCAGCUGUCAGCAGCACUGCAGGAAGCACAGCCAAAAGCACAGAGCACAAAACAGGCAGGACUUGCUACAGAGAGAUGGUUUGGGAGUUACAUCACAUCCAUCAUGGGCUUACAGGAUGCACAAAGGAAGCUGCUGCAAAGCAGCUGAUGUAAAUUCAUCUGCUGCUGGAACAGCUGCUGCCUCUGCUGGGACAGCAUGUCCUGUUCAAGGGGCACCUCGACAAACUGGUGAGGAUUUAGAAGGCUGAGGGCUACUGUGGGCUAGAAGACACCACUUGUAGUGGGCAUUGAGGGUGCAGCUUGUGCACAUUUACUUGUAAACAUUCUUGUGGCAAUAGCUUUGAUUUGCCAAAGGUCGCCAAGAAGCUUGAAGACAAAUCAAGGGCAUUGGUGAUCAUUUGUAAGAGCUGCAAGAGCUCAGGUAUUACUCAGGGCUUCACUGCUUAAUGUGUGAAACAACUAUUGUAAGAUGAAUCAGUCCUUAUCAAAUGCUCUCCUGUUUUCUCUACAAACCAGCAUUGUGCAGCGAUAGAAUUAUUAGCAGUGCACCAGGCUGUGUGUUCAGUGUGUCAUUUCAAAAGAAGUUUACAGUGAAUUGCCAUCAGUGUAAAAAUCACAGCUGUGAAACUGCUCCUGUUCUGCUUUGACUUGCAUUCCAUCUUGGAUGAUGGCCAGAAACAAAUACUUUAAAGGAGGAUUUCUGAUCAUUUUCGGUGCUAGAAAUCAGCAAAAAUAAUGGAUUAUCUGGCUUUCUGAUUCCUACAAAAAUGCUCCAUUGUAAUUCUCAGCAGUUCUUUUUCAUGUACAAAUCCAACCGCUUUUUGAAUCUUAGUAGAGCUCCAUUUUAAAAGGAAUUCUUUGACAAGAAAAAUUAGCAGCUAAGUCAAGCAUUCAGCACAAAGCAGAGGAAAAGCAGUCCUUCACAUUUACUGUUGUCUUAUCAGCUACUGUAUCAGGCUUGUUUCUGCAGAUUAUUAAAAUGGCCAAGCAGUUGCUCCGAAAAGAGGAUUAUCACAGAGAACAUGAAACAUUUAUGACAUUCAUAUUCUGAAAUUAACAUAAUCAUCAGGAUUCAGCUGCUGAUGCAGCCCAUCAGGCAUGCCCCUGUGACAAGACACAGCUGCUCUGAGCUGUUCUGUUGCUUCCUCUCGACAUGCCACUCAACCACACAGUAUUUUCCUCCUAUUCUAUUCUUGCCCAGUGUAUCUGAGGUCUCCCAUGGCUGCCAAACAGUUCUGCCUCCUCUAUUUAUCUAUUAGUUGAAUUUGAGUUCCAGCCCUUUUUUUGCAUUCUGAAUUAUGCUGACCCUUGUCAGUGCUUAAUAGAUAGAUAGCAGUGAAAAUCAAAGGCUUUUCCACUCAAGCUCUGCAGUGCUGGAAGGCCACAGGCAGGACCCAUGGGGUAAGGAACUACAAGUGAAAGCCCCCCUGAGGGACAAAAAGGGGGUUCAGGGCAGCUUGGCUGCUCUUGGGGCAAGUGGUUUCUCUCGACCCGUGCUCUCCCAGCAUCACCCACCACAACCUGCUGCCUCAUCCUGCUUCCACUCCAGGCCUCACCUUGAUCAGCUUGCAGCGGAUCUGGGCAGAAACCAUGUGGCUGUUGCGGAGGUUGCCGACCCGGAACAUGAGGCAGAGCUUGCCAUCCCGCUGCGAGACCACUGCGGCACGGCUGAACAUGAGGGUCUCAGCUCUCUUUUUGGGCUGCGACAUCUUGAUGAACAUGCAGCCGAUGAGGAACGCGUCGACGAUGGAGCCCAGCAGCGACUGGAAGAGGAAGAGCACGAUGCCCUCAGGGCAGCGCUCGGUAAUGUAGCGGUGCCCGUAGCCAAUGGUGGCUUCGGUCUCUAUGAAGAAAAGGAAGGCAGAGGGAAAGUUGUACACGUUGGCCACGCACGGACUGUAGGUGUCAUCGUGUGCCCGGUGCAGGUCGCCUCGCAGGUAGGCAAUGCCCCACCACAUGGAAGCCAUGACCAGCCAGGCGACCGUGUAGGUCAGCAGGAAGAUGAGCAGGUUCCAACGCCAUUUGAGAUCCACCAGCGUGGUGAAGAGGUCGGAGAGCCAUGCCCUCGCCGGGAUGUGGGAUGCAGGGAUUCCCGUUCAGCCGGAGCCGCCGCCAGCGCUGCCCGCAGCCGACGGGAG